AUAAGCGGGGGAAACCCCGUCUAAUACCGCGUAACGCGGCCUAGGGACAUCCCAAGGCCGCCAAAGGGAGCAAUCCCGGCCACGGAUGGGCAUGCGGCGCAUUAGCUAGUCGGCGGGGUAACGGCCCACCGAGGCGACGAUGCGUAGGGGUUCUGAGAGGAAGGCCCCCCACACUGGUACUGAGACACGGACCAGACUCCUACGGGAGGCAGCAGUGAGGAAUAUUGGUCAAUGGGCGCGAGCCUGAACCAGCCAAGUCGCGUGAGGGAGGACGGCCCUACGGGUUGUAAACCUCUUUUGCCGGGGAGCAACGGGCGUCACGUGUGGCGCCACUGAGAGUACCCGGAGAAAAAGCAUCGGCUAACUCCGUGCCAGCAGCCGCGGUAAUACGGAGGAUGCGAGCGUUAUCCGGAUUUAUUGGGUUUAAAGGGUGCGUAGGCGGAUCGUUAAGUCAGUGGUCAAAUUGAGGGGCUCAACCCCUUCCCGCCAUUGAAACUGGCGAUCUUGAGUGGAAGAGAAGUAUGCGGAAUGCGUGGUGUAGCGGUGAAAUGCAUAGAUAUCACGCAGAACCCCGAUUGCGAAGGCAGCAUGCCGGCUUCCGACUGACGCUGAAGCACGAAAGCGUGGGGAUCGAACAGGAUUAGAUACCCUGGUAGUCCACGCGGUAAACGAUGAGCAAUGGGUGUCCGGGGGGAAUGGCCCCUGGGUG
This 709-nucleotide ribosomal RNA is filed under the name uncultured bacterium. RNAcentral's name for it is "bacterial SSU rRNA". It matches the Rfam family "Bacterial small subunit ribosomal RNA", at positions 143 to 845 of the family's 1533-position model. The record is from RNAcentral.